UUGAACGCUGGCGGCAUGCUUUACACAUGCACGUCGAACGGUAACAGGCCUUCGGGUGCUGACGAGUGGCGAACGGGUGAGUAAUGCAUCGGAACGUACCCAGAGGUGGGGGAUAACGCAGCGAAAGCUGUGCUAAUACCGCAUGUGAUCUGAGGAUGAAAGCGGGGGACCGAGCAGCAAUGUUUGGCCUCGCGCCUUUGGAGCGGCCGAUGUUGGAUUAGCUAGUUGGUGGGGUAAAGGCCUACCAAGGCGACGAUCCGUAGCUGGUCUGAGAGGACGACCAGCCACACUGGGACUGAGACACGGCCCAGACUCCUACGGGAGGCAGCAGUGGGGAAUUUUGGACAAUGGGCGCAAGCCUGAUCCAGCAAUGCCGCGUGCGGGAAGAAGGCCUUCGGGUUGUAAACCGCUUUUGGCAGGAACGAAACGGUGUCCGCUAAUACCGGGCGCUAAUGACGGUACCUGCAGAAUAAGCACCGGCUAACUACGUG
RNAcentral lists this ribosomal RNA (491 nucleotides) under uncultured bacterium. Its description in RNAcentral is "partial 16S ribosomal RNA". It matches the Rfam family "Bacterial small subunit ribosomal RNA", at positions 30 to 507 of the family's 1533-position model. The record is from RNAcentral.